CUCUGUCUGCGCCACUCAAACUUCGGGGGCACUUUGUAAUGUGGACCUAAAGUGCCGCUGGGUUCUGAGUGGCGCCGGUGGAG
MicroRNA precursor from Cavia aperea (Brazilian guinea pig), 83 nucleotides. Ensembl annotates it as microRNA 371a. The record is from Ensembl. NCBI's taxonomy places the organism in Eukaryota, Metazoa, Chordata, Mammalia, Rodentia, Caviidae.